RNAcentral lists this unclassified non-coding RNA (380 nucleotides) under uncultured bacterium. RNAcentral's name for it is "contains 16S-23S intergenic spacer region". The record is from RNAcentral.
UCCGGUUUUUCACCGGCAGUCCUCUUAGAGUGCUCAGCAUAACCUGGUGGCAACUAAGAGCAAGGGUUGCGCUCGUUGCGGGACUUAACCCAACAUCUCACGACACGAGCUGACGACAGCCAUGCAGCACCUCGACUAGUGUCCCUUGCGGGAAAAGGAUGUUUCCACCCCUGUCACUAGCCGUUCGAGCCCAGGUAAGGUUCUUCGCGUUGCGUCGAAUUAAACCACAUACUCCACCGCUUGUGCGGGCCCCCGUCAAUUCCUUUGAGUUUCAGUCUUGCGACCGUACUCCCCAGGCGGCGAACUUAACGCGUUAGCUUCGAUACUGCGUGCCAAAUUGCACCCAACAUCCAGUUCGCAUCGUUUAGGGCGUGGACUAC